GCGGCAAGGGCGAGAGGAAACUUCAAAGGCACUUCUGAAUAAAAGAACACACGGUGGGACAUCAAUUAUUUACCAGGCAAAGUUUUGGCAGGCACAGGGGCCUUUCCCUGUUUGUUUUGCUGAAGCGGGCAGGAAGAGUGAUUUUGGAGGUUGCAUUGUGCCUGCCCAUACCUACCACUGUGGCCACAAAGGUUUGUCGAGCUCUGUCUAGACUCUUCCUUGGUACUCUGGCCCUGCACUGAUUCGAUAAAGAGUGACCAGGAUGAUAUUACUCAUUGAGCCCUUGCUGCAGAUGAUGAGUGAAGGUACAGAAAAGUUAGAUGACUUGCCCAGGGUCCUUUGGCUGGAAGCUAGCAGAUCUGAGACUUGAGCCAGGCCUCAUCUCUCCAGAGCAGACCCCAGUAUUUUGUAUGGAUGAGUGGAGAUGAAAAAUUAACUGAGGAAUUCAGAUAUAUGGUGGAUUUGCCAGACCCUACUUGCAUACAUGGGCUCUGUUGGCCUCCUCUUUGUAUACAGACAUCGCUGUCAACACCAGCAGAGGAAACAUAUGAAUGGUGGCAAUUCUUUGUUUAUUUUGCUUAUCAGUAAGUAACACACUUGUUGCAAA
Molecule: long non-coding RNA, 607 nt
Filed under: Homo sapiens (human)
Lineage: Eukaryota; Metazoa; Chordata; Mammalia; Primates; Hominidae
Description: HSALNT0096569
Source: RNAcentral